UCUCGAUUAGUAUAGUGGUCAGUAUGCCAGCUUGUCAUCUAUCAUCUGGAUGUUCGCUGGAGACCGGGGUUCAAUUCCCCGAUCGAGAG
This is a non-coding RNA of Xylariales sp. PMI_506, 89 nucleotides long. NCBI's taxonomy places the organism in Eukaryota, Fungi, Ascomycota, Sordariomycetes, Xylariales. The record is from the annotation of a GenBank genome assembly.